RNAcentral lists this ribosomal RNA (253 nucleotides) under uncultured bacterium. RNAcentral describes it as "partial 16S ribosomal RNA". It matches the Rfam family "Bacterial small subunit ribosomal RNA", at positions 524 to 776 of the family's 1533-position model. The record is from RNAcentral.
UACAGAGGUCCCAAGCGUUGUUCGGAUUCAUUGGGCGUAAAGGGUGCGUAGGCGGCGCGGUAAGUCGGGUGUGAAAUCUCGGGGCUUAACUCCGAAACUGCAUUCGAUACUGCCGUGCUUGAGGACUUGAGAGGAGACUGGAAUUUACGGUGUAGCGGUGAAAUGCGCAGAUAUCAGGAGGAACACCGGUGGCGAAGGCGGGACUCUGGGCCGAUACUGACGCUGAGGAGCGAAAGCGUGGGGAGCAAACAGG